Musa acuminata AAA Group (dessert banana) is the source of this 3072-nucleotide RNA transcript. RefSeq lists it as uncharacterized. Lineage: Eukaryota; Viridiplantae; Streptophyta; Magnoliopsida; Zingiberales; Musaceae. The transcript is spliced from 3 exons. The record is from RefSeq and is a predicted model, not a curated record.
CAUUUGUUUCCCCUUCUCGAUCUUUCUCGCCCAUGGCUUUCCAACCCGUAGAAACGAACUUGCAGUGAGAGGAGAGUGGUAGCGAGGAGGAGGAGGCGGUGGGGAUGUCGAAGAGCUUGGUGCAGUCCAUUGGGCAGAAGCGGCUGACCGCCAUCGCGAUCGUCCGCCUCAAGAAGCACGGCGUCCGGUUCGAGAUCGCCUGCUACAACAACAAGGUCCUUUCCGGGCGAUCGAGGGUCAUUAGCACUUGGACGAUGUUUGCUUGGGUGCUUGAUGCAGAGAGAAGGAUUUGGAUGAAUUGCUGCAGUCGCACACUGUUUAUUCGAACGUGUCGAAAGGUUGGUUGCGGAUUUUGGCGCUAAUGACCGAUCCAAAAUAUGCCUGGAGGUAAGCUUGGUGCUUAUACUAGCUUGAGAUUGUAUCUUGUUUCCUUCUAAUCGUGUUAUAGGAAAUGCAAUUCUAAAAAAUAUCAUACUUCUGUUAGUAUAGUUUAUUUUUUGUGGUAAGUUUUCCCUUUGUUUGGUAUGAGAAAUUAUGCUUCACAAGUGAUAGAUCACUAGAUUUUUUUCUACAUGAUGGAGAUAGGCAUGCUCGAAACCCAUAAGCUCAAGAUUCAAGACAAUCCAAUGACAAAAGAAAUUUGUUUGUUCAAUUGGCUCAGUAGCUUGUCACUUCCACAUACUUUUAGCUUUACUUAAGGUAGAUAUAUCUACUGAACAACUACUUCUUUGUUCUUAAGUGAGUCCCUCUCUUUUUUAACCUUGCCUUGGCUAGAAAAUGGUACGAGUUUUAGAGGCUUGACAGUAGGGUGGUAGUAUGUUUAAUGAAGCCUUCUUGAUUUUGAAUUAUACUAUGUGGGCAACCUCACACCAAAAGGAAAAUGGUGUGGAUCAUGUUGUUUUAUUAUUUUCUUGUAUGCCUAUCUCUACCCAUAUUAUUGACAUAAGAUCUGCCUUUAUUCUAAGCUCAUUGAAAGCUAUUGACUAAAUGUUUUGGAAGGAUAGGAACCAUAUUGCAAGAUUCUUCCAUUUAGUAUUUUAAACUUUUCUUUUCUGACCUAGCUUUAGAAGUUACUAAAAGACAAAUUUCUGGGCAAGGCAUUUACAGCUUCGACCUUGUUAUUUACUACCUUUUGGUGGGUACAAGAUAAUCAACCUUCAUAAAAUAUUAAUUUCAUGUCAAAUUUGCAAAUUUCAAUUCAGUUAUCUAGAUUGUUAGCAUAGGUUUUUGCUAAUCCUAAUGGAUUCUUAGUGGAUUUCUUUAGGUGAUGGUAACUUCUCUGUGGAUUUUCUUAGGUGAUGAUAAUUUUUCUAUUUCCCAUCUGCAGAUUUCAGUUAAAUAAACAUGAUGCCUCCAAGUUUCUUGCUUCAUUUCAGCCUCAAAAUGUUUGAUGGAAAUUUCCAAUUCCAUACCUUUUAUAUGCAGGAUACUUAUUUAUGUGUAUUAACCUGAUCAGGCAUAGAAAUUCUAGCUUUUAUGAAUUGUGGCAGUUCUCACAGAGCUGUUAGGUUUCAGACAAAGGAGAGCUUCAAGUUGCUGGGAAGGAAAGAGAGUCUCAGCUAUCAAGUUGGUUCUGGGAUAUUGCAAGUUUGCAACUAUUGUAAUGCAGAAAACUAUCGAUCCAGGAACUUAACGUCCUUAUACAAUCACCAUGGUAGAAUUACUUAUGCAUGGCAUACAUAUUAUAGCAGAUUCUAAUAAAAGCUUGAAAAAACAGGCAUUAGAAGUUAUAGGGGAGCUUCAAAAGCAUUUCCCCAUGAAGAGAUCCCCUAUGCAAUUGCAGCUUAUUGUACAUGAGAAAAAUAUUCCUAUUCUCAUCAAGAAACUCAAUUGUCGUAAUGCUAAUAUUACUUCAAAGGAUGAGUCUGGUAGUCACCCACCCAUUGUAAGUCUAAGUGUUGGAGAAAUGCAAACCCAUGAUUAGGUUUGUAUUUUUCUUUACAACUAAAUUUAUUUACACCAAAUUUUCUUUGUAAAAUGGAAAGCAUAGCUCUCAUUACUAUGGGGUAUAGGAAGGGGCAACUUAUGAAGUUUUACCCUUUCAAGUUGAGAAAUUGUUGUUUUUACUUGAAUUUUGAUCAUGUAGGUUGUCAAGCACUCCUUCCCAUGCUUUUCUAGUUGUUAGACUCAUGAAUAAACUAUUGCGGUGUUAAAAUUAACCAAGAUACCGAAGAUCCGUUUGAAAGAUGACUCAUGAUAGCAACAAGUCUUAAGUUUUUCAUUGCAGCAGGAAUUCUUAUUUGUUUAGCAAUGCUGCUGCUGUCACAGUAGAUGUUGCAUUUUCCUGUUUCAUGAUGUUCAUGUUCUUCAUACAAUGAAACCCCCUUCUAUUGAAUCCCAUGUUUAAGCUGGCUCCAUUUUUUUAUUUGUUGAUAAAGUUGGUAGCAGAUUUAAUGACAAAUCCUUGAUUUGCAUGGAAAGAUAUUUCUGGGAAGUGGAAGAAUACCAUCAGACUUAUUACAAAUAGAAAUCUGUAACUGUUGCAAAAACAAUAUAAAAAAAUUUGAUCAUAUAAGUUAGGUUAAGGUUUAUAAUCAGAAGUAUAUACUAGCUAUUAGAUCUGGGAUGCUGACGAUAUAUGUUAGAUUAAUUGUGUAGUUUUGAGAUUGUUUCAAAUGAUCAGAAUAGAAUGGGCAGAUAGACAAACAUUGGUAGAUGAUGUAACAUCAGAUUUGGAAAAAUCUUAACUAGGAUGCUGCAUUCAGGCCUCAUGUUGAGUAUAGCUUACAAAGCCAACCAACAUAAUUCAGUGAAGACUUUGUUAAACUUAUUUGCGGCACAUGAUUGAGGACAACUAACUUGUAAUUGUAAUAUUCACCAAUUGUUGUGCAGGCUUGUGAGAUGGAACCAGGUCUUUCGCAUGAUUGUGAUGCUGUCAUGAGGAACUUGCAUGGGAGGUUGAAAGUACUUGGUUGUUUCAGAGCAUAUGGACUAAACUCCUUUGUGUUUUCGAAGUUUAUAUGUUUCAUGAGAACAAUUUCUUUGCUUGUAAAUAUUAUAUUGACCUACAUUGUUUCAUCAAGUGUAUAUUACAUUGCGCUUUAAUAUUGUUUUGGUGUGCUCUCUCUUUCA